Oreochromis aureus is the source of this 1364-nucleotide long non-coding RNA. NCBI's taxonomy places the organism in Eukaryota, Metazoa, Chordata, Actinopteri, Cichliformes, Cichlidae. The record is from Ensembl.
GGAAUCUGAAGGCUAGACCGUCCCAUUUCACAGCCUCGCACUUCCGGCCUUCUUGGACUUCGAAGGACCCGGCCCACGUAGACCGCGAAGGCCGGGUCCUUCGAUGGAUGCAGCCGACGUUUUGGGACACAGCUACAAAUUACCUCAGACACACAGACUGAUGCGACAAAACCAACAUGGCUGGUAAGGAGAUGAGGAGGAAACAGUAGCAGCUGUGUGAGGUUACUAAAGGCAGUGGAUCCCUCAGCAGCUGGAUUACAAAGAGCACAGCUUUGAGCACCUGCCCCUUUAAACGUCUCUGCACGGCCCUGAUUCCAGGCUUCUGUACGGGUGUUACAGUCACGUGUCUGUAGGUGGGUCUAAAAUGGAGGUUGUUGACGGAAAACGGCUCUGAUGCGGCUAGGUUGGCAUGGUAAUUACCGGCUAUCACAUGGCUACCGGCUACCGGCGAAAAUAACGGAGGAAAUCGGGACGCUUAAUCUGACCUGGAGAGACAAACAGCAAAGUGGAGCAGACUGACACAGUUACUGCAGACGUAGAUGUAGCCGUCCAUGCCAAAUCUACACCCUUGGAUUAAAUGGUUACUAUCUAAGUUAACUGGCUCCGGAGCAUGUGAUAAAGUGAUAGUAAUGUCUUAGAGGGUAAUAUUUCUAUGUGGACUAUUGGAAACAACUGAGCAUUGUUAUGAGCCUGCUUCUCUGGUAAGUGAGUAACAUGUGAUUCUGUCACCUGAGGUCCAAUAUUGCAUCGUGAAAGUGAUCUUAAAGCACUGCUAAACCCUAUCCCAAUGCAUACCAUCCUGACAUUGUCAAAAAAAAAGAAGCACGUUUGUUUAUUUUUGGUUCUUAUUGUCAUGUUUUGUCAAUGUUGGGACAACAUUUAUUUAGCAGGGGAGGAAUGUAGCACUUGGUAAAGUGUAAAGCUAAAAUAUGUCUAAAACAUUGCAGAAAUCUGUUGGUAUUUGGGCUAUUCAGCAAUAUAUUUGGGGUUUUUUGGCUGCUACAUGUUUCCACCAGUAGAGGGCAGUCAGGGCAAAAAGAAAAGAAAAAUGUUCUGUAAAAAAGGAGAGAAGAGAGUACGCUUGGGUACUGUAUGUAAAAGCCAUGGUUCUGAAGUACCCAAAUAAACUCAGUUUGCUGCUUACAAAGUUGUCCUGAAGUGGUGUAACUCGUGUCACAAAUUAUAGCAGUGAAUCUUAAUAAAACAAGUAAUUAAAGGGCAUACCUGCAUUGGUUAACUCAUUUAAAUUAUCACAACUGACACGUGUGUUUGUAUCAUCCAUGUUAGAUGACUUCCUUCUAAUCUCAAUAGAUAUUUUUUCCUGGUUAAAAAAAAAGGUUUAAUUAAAAAAUUGAAAUGCAGCA